Molecule: ribosomal RNA, 482 nt
Filed under: uncultured bacterium
Lineage: Bacteria
Description: partial 16S ribosomal RNA
Rfam family: Bacterial small subunit ribosomal RNA
Source: RNAcentral
AUUGAACGCUGGCGGCAUGCCUUACACAUGCCAGUCGAACGGUAACAGGUCUUCGGAUGCUGACGAGUGGCGAACGGGUGAGUAAUACAUCGGAACGUGCCCGAUCGUGGGGGAUAACGAAGCGAAAGCUUUGCUAAUACCGCAUAAGAUCUACGGAUGAAAGCAGGGGACCGCAAGGCCUUGCGCGAACGGAGCGGCCGAUGGCAGAUUAGGUAGUUGGUGGGAUAAAAGCUUACCAAGCCGACGAUCUGUAGCUGGUCUGAGAGGACGACCGGCCACACUGGGACUGAGACACGGCCCAGACUCCUACGGGAGGCAGCAGUGGGGAAUUUUGGACAAUGGGCGAAGGCCUGAUCCAGCCAUGCCGCGUGCAGGAUGAAGGCCUUCGGGUUGUAAACUGCUUUUGUACGGAACGAAAAGACUCUGGUUAAUACCUGGGGUCCAUGACGGUACCGUAAGAAUAAGCACCGGCUAACUACGUG